RNAcentral lists this ribosomal RNA (253 nucleotides) under uncultured bacterium. Its description in RNAcentral is "partial 16S ribosomal RNA". It matches the Rfam family "Bacterial small subunit ribosomal RNA", at positions 524 to 776 of the family's 1533-position model. The record is from RNAcentral.
UACAGAGGGUGCAAGCGUUAAUCGGCAUUACUGGGCGUAAAGCGCGCGUAGGUGGUUUGUUAAGUUGGAUGUGAAAUCCCCGGGCUCAACCUGGGAACUGCAUUCAAAACUGACAAGCUAGAGUAUGGUAGAGGGUGGUGGAAUUUCCUGUGUAGCGGUGAAAUGCGUAGAUAUAGGAAGGAACACCAGUGGCGAAGGCGACCACCUGGACUGAUACUGACACUGAGGUGCGAAAGCGUGGGGAGCAAACAGG